Alexandromys fortis (reed vole) is the source of this 1152-nucleotide long non-coding RNA. RefSeq lists it as uncharacterized. The record is from RefSeq and is a predicted model, not a curated record. The transcript has 4 exons. NCBI's taxonomy places the organism in Eukaryota, Metazoa, Chordata, Mammalia, Rodentia, Cricetidae.
GAUGUCACUAUGUUUUUCUGCUUUGAAGUGCGCACACAGUCAUUCAGUCAACAAGCCGUUUAACUGAGUGGUGGGGUGGGAAGCAGGAGUAGCUCCUGUGUCCACAGACAAAGCACUCCACCUGUUGGAACUGGCUUUUGCAUUAAGAAACUAGACUUGAAAUGUUCAUAAUGCCGAGUUCUUGGACAAACGAGAUGAAAUCUUUCUGUUAACAGGUAGACGGCCUUAGUGAGAUGUUCCUGCCAAGGUUCUUGGAUGUGGAUGGCAGCAGGUCUUUCUAGUUUGCCUCUUGGACAUCCUAAAACAAGACAUGACGCUCACUUUCUGAGAAUAUCAAUUUGUUUGAUGCCCAUGAGCUACAGAGCCCAAAGUCCACUGUGUGGAGCUGUACACAGACAGACACCUACGAUGAAGGGCAAUGAACGCAAGCCACAGAAUCUUGCACAAGAUAGUAGGAAAGAGCAAACAAGGAGCCCUGCCAACACAGAAGUGUCCGAGGAAGACUUCUAGGAGGAGGUGGGGCUGUGGCUGGUUUCAUAGGCUGAAUAAAUACCAUGGGGGGAAGGACCAUCCUGGGCAAAGUCAUGGAAGGUUGGUAUGGUUGCUCAUGACUGAGGAGUAAGCUGCAAAACCAUCAAGGGAAUUUGUUGCUGCCCAGGUCCUUCUUGCCCACCUGGCUGAACUGAUUCUUCUGAGAAGAGCACAGGGGACUUAACAGCAGACCAGGACUUAAUUUAAUGAUGAUUGUCACCCUGCACUGCCCCUCCUGAGAUGCCCAUUAGAUGCAUGUUCUUUGAUAUGGGGAUGGGCCUCACGGCUGGUUCUAAGUCAAGCUUUUCGCCUUUUGUUAAGGAAAUGGAGCCUAAGUGGGGGUCAGUCUUGAUGAACAAGCAUCAUUUUCUCAAAUACCCUAGCAACAACCCUAAACUUCAGUUGUGGCACAAGAUUUUCUUUCCUGUAGUUUCUAGCAGACCUGUGCUCUGCUUAUCUGAUGGAGGUGGGUCUUGUAUCUUAUCUGUUGCUUUCAUUGGUUAAUAAUAAAGAAACUGCCUCGGCCCUCAUAGGACAGAAAAUUAGGUAGGUGGAGUAAACAGAAGAGAAUGCUGGGAAAAAGAAGCUGAAUCAGGGAGUCGCCAUGGUUCUCCCACUCCA